This 719-nucleotide ribosomal RNA is filed under the name uncultured fungus. Its description in RNAcentral is "SSU rRNA". It matches the Rfam family "Eukaryotic small subunit ribosomal RNA", at positions 804 to 1544 of the family's 1831-position model. The record is from RNAcentral. Lineage: Eukaryota; Fungi.
UUAGCAUGGAAUAAUGAAAUAGGACGUGUGGUUCUAUUUGUUGGUUUCUAGGACCGCCGUAAUGAUUAAUAGGGAUAGUCGGGGGCAUCAGUAUUCAAUUGUCAGAGGUGAAAUUCUUGGAUUUAUUGAAGACUAACUACUGCGAAAGCAUUUGCCAAGGAUGUUUUCAUUAAUCAGUGAGCGAAAGUUAGGGGAUCGAAGACGAUCAGAUACCGUCGUAGUCUUAACCAUAAACUAUGCCGACUAGGGAUCGGGCGAUGUUAUCUUUUUGACUCGCUCGGCACUUUACGAGAAAUCAAAGUUUUUGGGUUCUGGGGGGAGUAUGGUCUCAAGGCUGAAACUUAAAGAAAUUGACGGAGGGGCACCACCAGGAGUGGAGCCUGCGGCUUAAUUUGACUCAACACGGGGAAACUCACCAGGUCCAGACACAAUAAGGAUUGACAGAUUGAGAGCUCUUUCUUGAUUUUGUGGGUGGUGGUGCAUGGCCGUUCUUAGUUGGUGGAGUGAUUUGUCUGCUUAAUUGCGAUAACGAACGAGACCUUAACCUGCUAAAUAGCCCGGCUAGCUUUGGCUGGUCGCUGGCUUCUUAGAGGGACUAUCGGCUCAAGCCGAUGGAAGUUUGAGGCGAUAACAGGUCUGUGAUGCCCUUAGAUGUUCUGGGCCGCACGCGCGCUACACUGACAGAGCCAACGAGUUCAUCACCUUGGCCGAAAGGCCUG